This 260-nucleotide long non-coding RNA is filed under the name Mytilus galloprovincialis (Mediterranean mussel). The record is from RNAcentral. Lineage: Eukaryota; Metazoa; Mollusca; Bivalvia; Mytilida; Mytilidae.
UAUUGUAACUCUUGGAUCGUCUGUCGUCUGGUGAUUGAUCAACGGAAAUAAAACAAUGCCAAUAAUCAGUAGCCGUUCUCAAAGGCUGUGAAAUAUUUCUGUUUUAAGACUUUAAAACGUACAUGAUUAAAACGUUUUAUUCUAUGGUUUUAAGUUUAAAAAAAGUAUAAUAGAAAUGUUAUUUUCAGGCAAAACAAAACGUUUCAAGUUAAGUAAGGCGUUAGAAAAUCAAAACCGGAAGUGAAUUCCGUAUAACCCCC